GUGCCACUUUGUCCCGUUUUGGUGCCAGUUCAGCCAUUUUGGUGCGAAUUUGGCCGUUCUGGUGCCAAUUUGUCCCAUUUGAUGCCAAUUUGUCCCGUUUUGGUGCCACUUUGUCCCGUUUUGGUGCCAAUUUGGCCAUUUUGAUGCCAAUUUAGCCGUUUUGGUGCCACUUUGUCCCGUUUUGGUGCCACUUUGUCCCGUUUUGGUGCCAAUUUGUCCCAUUUGAUGCCACUUUGUCCCGUUUUGGUGCCACUUUGUCCCGUUUUGGUGCCAAUUUGUCCCAUUUGAUGCCACUUUGUCCCGUUUUGGUGCCACUUUGUCCCGUUUUGGUGCCAGUUCAGCCAUUUUGGUGCGAAUUUGGCCGUUCUGGUGCCAAUUUGUCCCAUUUGAUGCCAAUUUGUCCCGUUUUGGUGCCACUUUGUCCCGUUUUGGUGCCACUUUGUCCCAUUUGAUGCCAAUUUGUCCCGUUUUGGUGCCACUUUGUCCCGUUUUGGUGCCAAUUUGGCCAUUCUGGUGCAGUUUGAUGCCAUUUUUGUACCAAUUUGUGCCGUUCUGGUGCCUCUGUGCAGGCACGCCUGCGUCCCCGUGGACUUCGAGGAGGUUCGGGUGGGCGCCGAGGCGCCCGAGGAGGACGUGCAGAACGCCAUCACGGCCAUCCGGCGCAACGGCGUGGCGCUCAAGGGGAACAUCGAGACCAACCACAACCUCCCCCCCAGCCACAAAUCCCGCAACAACCUCAUCAGGUGGGCGCUGCUUCGGGGGGAUUUGCAUAUUUUGGGGUCUGAUUUGCAUAUUCUGUGGUCUAAUUUGCAUAUUUCAUGAGCUGAUUUGCAUGUUUUGGGGGUUCAUUUGCGAGUUUUGGGGGUUUCUUUCAUGUCUUGGGGGUUCAUUUGCAUGUCUCGGGUUAAAUUUCAUUCUGGGGGAUAUUUGCAUGUUUUGGGUGUUGAUUUGCAUAUUUGGGGGUUCAAUUUGCAUAUUUGGGGUUGAUUUGCCUGGUUUGGCUGUUUGUUUGCAUAUUUGGGGGGUUGAUUUGCAUAUUUUGGGGGUUCAUUUGCAUGCUUUGGAUUUGAUUUAUGUGUUCGGGGGUAAUUUGCAUAAUUGGCUGUUGAUUUGCAUAUUUGGGGGUUUUUUUGCCUGUUUUAGGGAUUUAUUUUCAUUUUUUGGGGUCUAUUUUUAAGUUUUGGAGUUUUUUUCCCCUUUGAGAGAUG
This 1208-nucleotide long non-coding RNA is filed under the name Chloebia gouldiae (Gouldian finch). RNAcentral describes it as "Erythrura gouldiae (Gouldian finch) lncRNA (ENSEGOG00005018816.1)". Lineage: Eukaryota; Metazoa; Chordata; Aves; Passeriformes; Passeridae. The record is from RNAcentral.